This 839-nucleotide ribosomal RNA is filed under the name uncultured bacterium. Its description in RNAcentral is "bacterial SSU rRNA". It matches the Rfam family "Bacterial small subunit ribosomal RNA", at positions 536 to 1371 of the family's 1533-position model. The record is from RNAcentral.
GAGCGUUAAUCGGAAUUACUGGGCGUAAAGCGCGCGUAGGUGGAUUGGUCAGUCAGAUGUGAAAGCACAGGGCUCAACCUUGGAACUGCAUCUGAUACUGCUAGUCUAGAAUACAGUAGAGGGUAGUGGAAUUUCCUGCGUAGCGGUGAAAUGCGUAGAUAUAGGAAGGAACACCAGUGGCGAAGGCGACUACCUGGACUGAUAUUGACACUGAGGUGCGAAAGCGUGGGGAGCAAACAGGAUUAGAUCCCCUGGUAGUCCACGCCGUAAACGAUGUCUACUAGCCGUUGGAAGACUUGAUCUUUUAGUGGCGAAGCUAACGCGAUAAGUAGACCGCCUGGGGAGUACGGCCGCAAGGUUAAAACUCAAAUGAAUUGACGGGGGCCCGCACAAGCGGUGGAGCAUGUGGUUUAAUUCGACGCAACGCGAAGAACCUUCCCAUCUCUUGACAUCCAGAGAAGAGGCUAGAGAUAGCUUUGUGCCUUCGGGAACUCUGAGACAGGUGCUGCAUGGCUGUCGUCAGCUCGUGUUGUGAAAUGUUGGGUUAAGUGCCGUACACGAGUCGCAACGCCUUGUCCUUAUUGACCACCACGUAAUGGUGGGAACUCUAAGGAGACUGCCGGUGACAACCCGGAGGAAGGUGGGGACGACGUCAAGUCAUCAUGUCCCUUACGAGUUGGGCUACACACGUGAUACAAUGGCCGGUUCAGAGGGCUGCAAACCUGCGAAGGUAAGCUAAUCUCACAAAAUCGGUCGUAGUCCGGAUAGGAGUCUGCAACUCGACUCCAUGAAGUCGGCAUCGGUCGUAAUCGUGGAUCAGAAUGCCACGGUGAAUACGU